GAAUAUUGGUCAAUGGACGCAAGUCUGAACCAGCCAUGCCGCGUGGAGGAUGAAGGUCCUCUGGAUUGUAAACUUCUUUUAUCUGGGAAGAAACCCAACUUUUCUAAGGUGGUUGACGGUACCAGAUGAAUAAGCACCGGCUAACUCCGUGCCAGCAGCCGCGGUAAUACGGAGGGUGCAAGCGUUAUCCGGAUUCACUGGGUUUAAAGGGUGCGUAGGUGGGCUGGUAAGUCCGUGGUGAAAUCCCCGAGCUUAACUUGGGAACUGCCGUGGAUACUAUCAGUCUUGAAUAUUGUGGAGGUAAGCGGAAUAUGUCAUGUAGCGGUGAAAUGCUUAGAUAUGACAUAGAACACCAAUAGCGAAGGCAGCUUACUACACGAUCAUUGACACUGAGGCACGAAAGCGUGGGGAGCAAACAGG
RNAcentral lists this ribosomal RNA (420 nucleotides) under uncultured bacterium. RNAcentral describes it as "bacterial SSU rRNA". It matches the Rfam family "Bacterial small subunit ribosomal RNA", at positions 359 to 776 of the family's 1533-position model. The record is from RNAcentral.